RNAcentral lists this ribosomal RNA (490 nucleotides) under uncultured Rathayibacter sp. Its description in RNAcentral is "partial 16S ribosomal RNA". Lineage: Bacteria; Bacillati; Actinomycetota; Actinomycetes; Micrococcales; Microbacteriaceae. The record is from RNAcentral.
UACGUAGUUAGCCGGUGCUUUUUCUGCAGGUACCGUCAAACCGAAGUCCUUCUUCCCUACUAAAAGAGGUUUACAACCCGAAGGCCGUCAUCCCCCACGCGGCGUUGCUGCAUCAGGCUUUCGCCCAUUGUGCAAUAUUCCCCACUGCUGCCUCCCGUAGGAGUCUGGGCCGUGUCUCAGUCCCAGUGUGGCCGGUCACCCUCUCAGGCCGGCUACCCGUCGUCGCCUUGGUGAGCCAUUACCUCACCAACAAGCUGAUAGGCCGCGAGUCCAUCCUUGACCGAAAAACUUUCCACCCGCACCCGAUGCCGGGGCAGGUCGUAUCCGGUAUUAGACGCCGUUUCCAGCGCUUAUCCCAGAGUCAAGGGCAGGUUACUCACGUGUUACUCACCCGUUCGCCACUAAUCCACCCAGCAAGCUGGGCUUCAUCGUUCGACUUGCAUGUGUUAAGCACGCCGCCAGCGUUCGUCCUGAGCCAGGAUCAAACUCU